Molecule: ribosomal RNA, 412 nt
Filed under: Enterococcus faecalis
Lineage: Bacteria; Bacillati; Bacillota; Bacilli; Lactobacillales; Enterococcaceae
Description: bacterial SSU rRNA
Rfam family: Bacterial small subunit ribosomal RNA
Source: RNAcentral
GGACUGAUCCUUUGACACUCUAGAGAUAGAGCUUUCCCUUCGGGGACAAAGUGACAGGUGGUGCAUGGUUGUCGUCAGCUCGUGUCGUGAGAUGUUGGGUUAAGUCCCGCAACGAGCGCAACCCUUAUUGUUAGUUGCCAUCAUUUAGUUGGGCACUCUAGCGAGACUGCCGGUGACAAACCGGAGGAAGGUGGGGAUGACGUCAAAUCAUCAUGCCCCUUAUGACCUGGGCUACACACGUGCUACAAUGGGAAGUACAACGAGUCGCUAGACCGCGAGGUCAUGCAAAUCUCUUAAAGCUUCUCUCAGUUCGGAUUGCAGGCUGCAACUCGCCUGCAUGAAGCCGGAAUCGCUAGUAAUCGCGGAUCAGCACGCCGCGGUGAAUACGUUCCCGGGUCUUGUACCACACCGA